RNAcentral lists this ribosomal RNA (270 nucleotides) under uncultured archaeon. Its description in RNAcentral is "partial 16S ribosomal RNA". It matches the Rfam family "Bacterial small subunit ribosomal RNA", at positions 527 to 796 of the family's 1533-position model. The record is from RNAcentral.
CGAGGGUGCGAGCGUUAAUCGGAAUUACUGGGCGUAAAGGGUGCGUAGGUUGUCAUAUAAGUCAGGUGUGAAAUCCCAGAGCUCAACUUUGGAAUUGCGCUUGAUACUGUGUGGCUAGAGUUCUGUAGAGGGUAGUAGAAUUUCCGGUGUAGCGGUGAAAUGCGUAGAUAUCGGAAGGAAUACCGGUGGCGAAGGUGGCUACCUGGACAGAAACUGACACUGAGGCACGAAAGCGUGGGUAGCAAACAGGAUUAGAUACCCGAGUAGUCC